GGGGUUGUGGCUCAGUGGUAGAGCGCUUGCCUAUAGUAUGCAUGAGGCACUGGGUUCGAUCCCAAAGACCACA
Molecule: transfer RNA, 73 nt
Filed under: Marmota marmota marmota (Alpine marmot)
Lineage: Eukaryota; Metazoa; Chordata; Mammalia; Rodentia; Sciuridae
Also listed under: 1 other name
Rfam family: tRNA
About the family: Transfer RNA (tRNA) molecules are approximately 80 nucleotides in length. Their secondary structure includes four short double-helical elements and three loops (D, anti-codon, and T loops).
Source: Rfam by way of RNAcentral